UGUAAGGGCAUAAGGGAGCUUGACUGCGAGGCUGACAAGCCAAGCAGGGCGGAAACGCGGGCCUAGUGAUCCUACGGCGGCAAGUGGAAGCGCCGUGGCUUAACGGAUAAAAGCUACUCCGGGGAUAACAGGCUGAUCUCCCCCAAUAGUCCACAUAGACGGGGAGGUUUGGCACCUCGAUGUCGGCUCAUCGCAUCCUGGGGCUGCAGUAGGUCCCAAGGGUUGGGCUGUUCGCCCAUUAAAGCGGUACGUGAGCUGGGUUCAGAACGUCGUGAGACAGUUCGGACAAAGAGCUGUCGGAAAAUCCGGCUAUAUGCUGGGAAGCCUGGUGGAUCCCACGCUACCCAUUGGAGGGCCAUAUGGCCAGAGUGGGUGACAACGCGAUGGGUGCAGGCAAUCAGCAGGGAAGGCCAGAUCACCUCUGCCACUAUGUGGCGGGGUUCGUCGACGGAGAAGGAAGCUUCCACGUGGCGGUGCAGAGAAGUCCGAGCAGCCGCUGGAAGUGGCAGGUGAUUCCGGAGUUCCACGUGUCCCAGAACGACGGCAAUCAGCAUGUGCUGGAGCUGGUGCGAAGCGUUCUGGGUUGUGGAUACAUCAAGCCGAAUCACCGAGGCUCCCGAGAUCGGACCUUCGUGCUAGUGGUAAGAGAUCGCACCGAUCUCGCGAUGAAGGUUGUACCGUUCUUUCGCGAGUUUCAGUUACGCACAACGAAGCGCGCGGAGUUCGAGCGGUUCGCCCACGUCGUCGAGAUGAUGAUGGGAGGUCACCACCUCAGCCCCAAGGGGUUGAGGGAGAUCUUGAAAGUGGCCUUUCAGAUGAAUCAAGCAGGUGCGCGGCGCAGAAUGUCGUUGGACGAUAUCCUCGCCGAUCUGGAACCCUCAGAGACUGUACGCCGGACCCCCACGACCGUGGGGUGAAGAUACAGUCCGAGCUCCCAGGCGACUGGGAGAGGCAGGCAGAAAUGACCUGCCCCCUUCCUUGGUCGGAAGGAGUAACAAGACUGUCGGUCCCUAUCCGCUGCGGGCGCAGGUGGUUUGAGGGGAUUUGCUCCUAGUACGAGAGGACCGGAGUGAACGGACCGCUGGCGUACCGGUUGUCCUGCCAAGGGCACGCGCCGGGUACCUAUGUCCGGACGGGAUAAGCGCUGAAAGCAUCUAAGCGCGAAGCCCACCCCAAGAUGAGACCACCCACCGGGUAACCGGGUAAGCCCCCAGGUUGACGACCUGGUCAAUAGGCCGGAGGUGUAAGCGCCGCAAGGCGUUGAGCUGACCGGUACUAAUCGGGCGAGGGCUUGAUGCC
Molecule: ribosomal RNA, 1299 nt
Filed under: Pseudomonadota bacterium
Lineage: Bacteria; Pseudomonadati; Pseudomonadota
Also listed under: 1 other name
Description: partial 23S ribosomal RNA
Rfam family: Bacterial large subunit ribosomal RNA
Source: RNAcentral